Molecule: ribosomal RNA, 432 nt
Filed under: uncultured bacterium
Lineage: Bacteria
Description: partial 16S ribosomal RNA
Rfam family: Bacterial small subunit ribosomal RNA
Source: RNAcentral
AACGAACGCUGGCGGCAUGCCUAACACAUGCAAGUCGAACGAGACCUUCGGGUCUAGUGGCGCACGGGUGCGUAACACGUGGGAACCUGCCCUUAGGUUCGGAAUAACUCCCCGAAAGGGGUGCUAAUACCGGAUAAUGUCUUCGGACCAAAGAUUUAUCGCCUUUGGAUGGGCCCGCGUUGGAUUAGCUAGUUGGUAGGGUAAAAGCCUACCAAGGCGACGAUCCAUAGCUGGUCUGAGAGGAUGAUCAGCCACACUGGGACUGAGACACGGCCCAGACUCCUACGGGAGGCAGCAGUGGGGAAUAUUGGACAAUGGGCGAAAGCCUGAUCCAGCAAUGCCGCGUGAGUGAUGAAGGCCUUAGGGUUGUAAAGCUCUUUUACCCGGGAUGAUAAUGACAGUACCGGGAGAAUAAGCUCCGGCUAACUCCGU